UGACCGUAUCGAUUGCUCCUAUAUAUAGACACAGAAUACGGGUACUGAACGGGGCGUGGUUAUACAGUACAAUACAUUCAGUAUCGGCUUUUGUGGCUUUGAUAAAGAAUUCCACCACAAAAAGUUACGAAAACGAACAUGCCGGCUGAGGAUUUGUAAAUUUUGGCGGAAUAGUCGCUCAAUAAAAGGGGGCAGAACAUAUUACUGAAGUUAAUGUUUUGCCCAUGACUGCAAUAACAGUGAUAUAGAGGCAUUUUGCAUUUCAAGCCACAUCUACGUGCAUGUACGUGCGGAUUAUUAAAGGACACGAUUAAACAGG
Molecule: long non-coding RNA, 319 nt
Organism: Mercenaria mercenaria
Lineage: Eukaryota; Metazoa; Mollusca; Bivalvia; Venerida; Veneridae
Exons: 3
Source: RefSeq, a predicted model, not a curated record